Long non-coding RNA from Cynoglossus semilaevis (tongue sole), 2164 nucleotides. RefSeq lists it as uncharacterized. The record is from RefSeq and is a predicted model, not a curated record. NCBI's taxonomy places the organism in Eukaryota, Metazoa, Chordata, Actinopteri, Pleuronectiformes, Cynoglossidae. The transcript has 4 exons.
UGUACUGUAUGUACUGUGUUAUAUAGACUGUACAUAAAGAAUGGACAGUUCCAUGGUUCACAAAUGGCAACUGUUAAAAUUAGGUUGAAAAAAAAGCUAGUAUCUGGAGCCUUCCAGUGUAAAUGUUUGUCUAUUGGAUUAUUAAUGAACACCUGAUCAGUAUGUCUACUGAUCCUGAAGCUCUUUAUUUCAGAUUUUCACCCUAUCAGCUUGAAAUGUUUGCUCAAGUUAAAUCUGAUGUUCUACAGGGUUUAAAAUAUAUGUUCUGUUUUCCACCCACAGUCUUCAAAUUCAAUGCUGCAACCUGGAGCUGACAGCCAGCCUUGUCCUCACGUCUCCUUCCAGCCCAUAAUGAGAUGCAGAGACAGCAGGUGGGGGCGGGGGUGUAGCUGUCAUCCAGCAGCUGCCCCCAGGAAGACCCAGAGGUAGCUGCCAAAUUACAACGAAACUCAAACUGAAAAACGAAGGGUCUCAAUUUGUGUUCCAGUGCCAUCUGCUGGUCAUUUUCUGCAGUCAGAAAGGAGGCCUCACAAAGCAAGCUGUGUCCUGUCCUGUAGUGAUGUGGAAUGAAACAGAUGGGCGAGGGUGGAACACCAAGACUACGCCCCAGGUACACGCCCUGAAAAGACAAAACUCGCUCAACCACAGGUGAAAGAGUAAAUGUGAUUAGUUCACUCUCAGCACUCUCUCUCUCCCUCUCUCCUUCAGAGCCAAAGUUUGUGCAUGAUACUUGAAAAAUGUUUGUGUAAUGUUUCUUUGUGAAGUGAGUGCAGGAUUGGAGUUCAGUGCCUGCUCACAGCGAGUGGCACGGCACCCUGCAUUGUUGUAAAAUGGCCUUAAAAAAUGUGGUUCUGGCCAAAGGUGCACGAAUAUCUGUGCAGGUUUAUUGGCAGCCCAGGGUGUGUUCUCCUAAUUUGCCAAAAGGAAUGCCAUGGUGGUGAGGUGGGACUUUUGUUCCCUGAGAAAAUGUUCGUGCAGUUAAUACCAGAGUGAAUCACUGGUAAAGAAAGUCAAGAACACAUGAUCUCUGAGACAAAGUGCAGAAUCCUCUGGUGCAGCUGUAGGACCAUCGACCGAUACCAAAAUAUGAGAAUUCUUCUGCCCCCCCCCAGCUCCUCCCCCAGCUCCUCCCCAACCUCACCGAGUCUGUAAUUACAGAUUAUUCACUUAAUGGAAAACAACACAUUGCAGUAAAUCUUGUAUGACAAAUAAAAUGCUUCAUAAUCUUCUCCCUCAGAAUGCUCUCUUGCAUUUUCCCUUGUGUCUGCUCAUAACCCCAAAUACACACAAACUGGUUUUGGUGUUUUGUGAGCACCUCACAAUUCAUUCUAUUCAUUUCAUAGGUCCUUACUGAAAAUCUACUAUCACAACACACUUUCCUCUAAUGCUAAUCCCAAACUGUAAUCGGACUCUAAUUCUAACUCCAAAAAAUGUUUUGAACCUCAUAAUGCCCUGGAGUAAUGUGGACCUGGAAAUGUCCCCAAAAUAAACAUGUCCCCACAAGUAUACCUAUACCAGGACUCCACACACAUACACACAGGGACAUGCUACAUUUCUCAGUUGCUGCACACUUGGUUGUGUGACAGGGCGGUGCAGAUAGACCUUGCGUGAAAUGCAGCUCUUAGCAAACACAUGUUAUAAUUUAUUUUUAUUGCAGUGAUUUAUGUUUUUUGGGAUCGCCCCUGGGGUAAAGACAGCAGCCGGGGGUAGGAAAGAACUGCCCUUCUGUUCAGAUGCUUCAGUGUAGAAACAUGCUUGUAAAGUGUACCACAGUCGGUUUGGGGGCAAGGCUAAACACGCAGUGGAUUCAUAGUUGGAAUUUAAUUAGUAUAGUGGAAUUUCAUUAGUGUCGUCUCUUCUUUUACUCCUGUUGUUUCACAUGUGCUGCUGUUUUGGCAGCGAACGUUGCUGACGCAAUACCUCAGGACAGAAAACCCAACACAAAAUGUCAAACGAUACGAUAGACUCCCACGUGUCUCUCUAAGAACCAGGCGUGCUGUGGGCCAGAUGUACUAGAGAAUGAACAUUAAGUGCUAAUAGUUUUUUUUAUUUCAGAAAUGGAAAGUGCGAUCUGAUUGUGCAAUUGCAGCAAUUUGGUAACUGUCAUUCAAAGCAGAGUGAUGCAGCAGAGCAUGACGGUCGUGCAGGUGUUCAAACCAACCUG